CCUACGGGAGGCAGCAGUGGGGAAUAUUGGACAAUGGGCGAAAGCCUGAUCCAGCCAUGCCGCGUGUGUGAAGAAGGCCUUCGGGUUGUAAAGCACUUUCAGUGGGGAAGAAAGCCUUGGGGCUAAUACCCUCGAGGAAGGACAUCACCCACAGAAGAAGCACCGGCUAACUCCGUGCCAGCAGCCGCGGUAAUACGGAGGGUGCGAGCGUUAAUCGGAAUUACUGGGCGUAAAGCGCGCGUAGGCGGUCUGAUAAGCCGGUUGUGAAAGCCCCGGGCUCAACCUGGGAACGGCAUCCGGAACUGUCAGGCUAGAGUGCAGGAGAGGAAGGUAGAAUUCCCGGUGUAGCGGUGAAAUGCGUAGAGAUCGGGAGGAAUACCAGUGGCGAAGGCGGCCUUCUGGACUGACACUGACGCUGAGGUGCGAAAGCGUGGGUAGCAAACAGGAUUAGAUCCCCGGUAGU
Molecule: ribosomal RNA, 463 nt
Filed under: Vreelandella stevensii
Lineage: Bacteria; Pseudomonadati; Pseudomonadota; Gammaproteobacteria; Oceanospirillales; Halomonadaceae
Description: partial 16S ribosomal RNA
Rfam family: Bacterial small subunit ribosomal RNA
Source: RNAcentral